RNAcentral lists this ribosomal RNA (1260 nucleotides) under Salmonella enterica subsp. enterica serovar Typhimurium str. DT104. Its description in RNAcentral is "bacterial LSU rRNA". It matches the Rfam family "Bacterial large subunit ribosomal RNA", at positions 11 to 1211 of the family's 2925-position model. Lineage: Bacteria; Pseudomonadati; Pseudomonadota; Gammaproteobacteria; Enterobacterales; Enterobacteriaceae. The record is from RNAcentral.
CUAAGCGUACACGGUGGAUGCCUUGGCAGUCAGAGGCGAUGAAGGGCGUGCUAAUCUGCGAUAAGCGCCGGUAAGGUGAUAUGAACCGUUAUAACCGGCGAUACCCGAAUGGGGAAACCCAGUGUGACUCGUCACACUAUCAUUAACUGAAUCCAUAGGUUAAUGAGGCGAACCGGGGGAACUGAAACAUCUAAGUACCCCGAGGAAAAGAAAUCAACCGAGAUUCCCCCAGUAGCGGCGAGCGAACGGGGAGGAGCCCAGAGCCUGAAUCAGCAUGUGUGUUAGUGGAAGCGUCUGGAAAGGCGCGCGAUACAGGGUGACAGCCCCGUACACAAAAGCGCAUGUGCUGUGAGCUCGAUGAGUAGGGCGGGACACGUGGUAUCCUGUCUGAAUAUGGGGGGACCAUCCUCCAAGGCUAAAUACUCCUGACUGACCGAUAGUGAACCAGUACCGUGAGGGAAAGGCGAAAAGAACCCCGGCGAGGGGAGUGAAAAAGAACCUGAAACCGUGUACGUACAAGCAGUGGGAGCCCCACCACUAAGCCAGUGGUGAACUCCACAUCCGCAUCCUUUGCUGAGGAUACGGUUAACGGAGCGAAAGCGACGUUCAACCGCAAAACAAGCAGAGGGGGCUUAGUGGUGGGGUGACUGCGUACCUUUUGUAUAAUGGGUCAGCGACUUAUAUUCUGUAGCAAGGUUAACCGAAUAGGGGAGCCGGAGGGAAACCGAGUCUUAAUUGGGCGUUAAGUUGCAGGGUAUAGACCCGAAACCCGGUGAUCUAGCCAUGGGCAGGUUGAAGGUUGGGUAACACUAACUGGAGGACCGAACCGACUAAUGUUGAAAAAUUAGCGGAUGACCUGUGGCUGGGGGUGAAAGGCCAAUCAAACCGGGAGAUAGCUGGUUCUCCCCGAAAGCUAUUUAGGUAGCGCCUCGUGAAUUCAUCUCCGGGGGUAGAGCACUGUUUCGGCUAGGGGGCCAUCCCGGCUUACCAACCCGAUGCAAACUGCGAAUACCGGAGAAUGUUAUCACGGGAGACACACGGCGGGUGCUAACGUCCGUCGUGAAGAGGGAAACAACCCAGACCGCCAGCUAAGGUCCCAAAGUCAUGGUUAAGUGGGAAACGAUGUGGGAAGGCCCAGACAGCCAGGAUGUUGGCUUAGAAGCAGCCAUCAUUUAAAGAAAGCGUAAUAGCUCACUGGUCGAGUCGGCCUGCGCGGAAGAUGUAACGGGGCUAAACCAUGCACCGAAGCUGCGGCAGCGA